Molecule: ribosomal RNA, 71 nt
Filed under: Proteiniphilum sp. X52
Lineage: Bacteria; Pseudomonadati; Bacteroidota; Bacteroidia; Bacteroidales; Dysgonomonadaceae
Description: partial 23S ribosomal RNA
Source: RNAcentral
AAAAGUGAACAAGGGCACAUGGGGGAUGCCUAGGCUCUGGAAGGCGAAGAAGGACGUGAUAAGCUGCGAAA